Molecule: transfer RNA, 73 nt
Filed under: Elusimicrobiota bacterium
Lineage: Bacteria; Pseudomonadati; Elusimicrobiota
Description: Elusimicrobia bacterium (hot springs metagenome) tRNA-Lys
Rfam family: tRNA
About the family: Transfer RNA (tRNA) molecules are approximately 80 nucleotides in length. Their secondary structure includes four short double-helical elements and three loops (D, anti-codon, and T loops). Further hydrogen bonds mediate the characteristic L-shaped molecular structure. tRNAs have two regions of fundamental functional importance: the anti-codon, which is responsible for specific mRNA codon recognition, and the 3' end, to which the tRNAs corresponding amino acid is attached (by aminoacyl-tRNA synthetases). tRNAs cope with the degeneracy of the genetic code in two manners: having more than one tRNA (with a specific anti-codon) for a particular amino acid; and 'wobble' base-pairing, i.e. permitting non-standard base-pairing at the 3rd anti-codon position.
Source: RNAcentral
GGGCCCGUAGCUCAGGUGGUAGAGCACCGGCCUUUUAAGCCGGGUGUCGAGAGUUCGAAUCUCUCCGGGCUCA